UUUAAGCAUCCUUGGGUGGCGAAGAUGAAGGUUCCGCUGACCCAGCCUCAUCCUGUGCUUUAUUUAUGCCUCCUGCAAUGGUAGUACUAAGUGGACGUGAAACACCCGGGACUAACGGUGGAGCAUAACGACCACCAAAAGGAGGUUCCGGACUCGCUGCAAUAGCAUUUUCAUGACAUCUGUGCAAAUAACGCAGCAUUGCUUUCUCCCACGUGCUCAUUUUCUUCGGCAUAUCGUGAGGGCCAACUAUGGUUUUCCCUUUGCUGUGAGAGGAACGACGAUC
This 283-nucleotide long non-coding RNA is filed under the name Setaria viridis. Its description in RNAcentral is "long non-coding RNA (SVIR_LNC003292)". The record is from RNAcentral. Lineage: Eukaryota; Viridiplantae; Streptophyta; Magnoliopsida; Poales; Poaceae.